Molecule: ribosomal RNA, 497 nt
Filed under: uncultured bacterium
Lineage: Bacteria
Description: partial 16S ribosomal RNA
Rfam family: Bacterial small subunit ribosomal RNA
Source: RNAcentral
GAUGAACGCUGGCGGCGUGCCUAAUACAUGCAAGUCGAGCGAACAGACGAGGAGCUUGCUCCUCUGACGUUAGCGGCGGACGGGUGAGUAACACGUGGAUAACCUACCUAUAAGACUGGGAUAACUUCGGGAAACCGGAGCUAAUACCGGAUAAUAUAUUGAACCGCAUGGUUCAAUAGUGAAAGACGGUUUUGCUGUCACUUAUAGAUGGAUCCGCGCCGCAUUAGCUAGUUGGUAAGGUAACGGCUUACCAAGGCAACGAUGCGUAGCCGACCUGAGAGGGUGAUCGGCCACACUGGAACUGAGGCACGGUCCAGACUCCUACGGGAGGCAGCAGUAGGGAAUCUUCCGCAAUGGGCGAAAGCCUGACGGAGCAACGCCGCGUGAGUGAUGAAGGUCUUCGGAUCGUAAAACUCUGUUAUUAGGGAAGAACAAAUGUGUAAGUAACUAUGCACGUUUUGACGGUACCUAAUCAGAAAGCCACGGCUAACUACGUG